RNAcentral lists this long non-coding RNA (642 nucleotides) under Sorghum bicolor (sorghum). RNAcentral describes it as "long non-coding RNA (SBIC_LNC017250)". Lineage: Eukaryota; Viridiplantae; Streptophyta; Magnoliopsida; Poales; Poaceae. The record is from RNAcentral.
GAGCCAGGGAAUAAUAUUCAGAGGCAUCUCACAAUUUUUGGUGAUUUUUGGACAUACUAAUAAAUUAUUAAAAUUCAUCAAAGCUUUAUUUGGUAAUUAAAAGUGCCAAUUUUCAUAUCCUGGCAAAUUAACAGAAAACAGAGCCUAAUAUUUUUCUUGGGUUCUAACUAUUUCAGGGAAUUUAUACAAAAAUUUUCAUCAUUUUUGGAUCACUACAAAAUUUAUAACAUAAAUUCAAACAUCAAGCAAUUUUAAUCAAAAAGGAAAAAGAAAAAAAAACAGCGCAGCGGGCGGCCUGGAAACUGGGCCGCAGGCCGGCCCACACGCGCUCGGCCCGCACCCGCGCUGCGCGCGCUCGCGCCCUCACCUCCCCUCAGGACGUCGCUGAAAGCGGGCCCUCGCUGUCAGCUCCGUCUUCAACCUCCGGCCGGCCGAAUCGAUGGCGCGACCGAGCCAUCCGUGCCUCCUCUGCUUCUCGUGACCUGCUGGUCGCGUUCUCCAUUCCAAGGCGCACCUCUGGAUACCCUUCUCACCCCCUUUCUCCUCCCCUAACCCCCGCGACCACGGACACGGCGGACGGCCGCCUCGGCCGGGCAAACACCGGCCACUACGCUUGAGUAGAGCGCGAAGAGAGUAGCGCAA